AUGGCUCAUCAUCGACGCCGCAGCUGCCUGCGCCGUGUCCUCACCAUCGCCGGCGGUGUGUCAGCCGGCCUCCUCCUGCUCGCCGGCGGCCAUACCUACGGCCACGGCCAGCUCUUCUCGCCGUCCUUGCUGCCCCUCGGCCUCGGCGCCGACUGCUCGCCGUCCUUCGCCCCGCCCCCCUUCGCCCCGCCGCCCUCCGCCCUCUCGCCGCUGCCGCCCUACCUCCUGUCGGACUUGGAGGCCGACGCCUCGCCCCCGCAGCCGGAAGCCAACCUCCCGCGGCGCCUUCUGCCCAUCCACCGAUCGCCGCCCUGCCUCCCCUCGAACUCGGAAUCGGGGGCCGACCGCUCGCCGCCGCAGCACGACGACGCUGAUGCCGUCUUGCUCCCGGACUGGGAGGUCCUUCUCUUGGCUGACGCCGAGCUUGGCGGCGGCGCGGGCAAUGGGAAGGCGACGUGCGCCUUCCAGGGUGGGGCGUCAUCCCCGGCGAGCGCGCUCGGGAGGCUGCCGGGGUCGGCCCGCCACGGCUACGUCUGCCCAAUGCCCGAGCCUGUCCGGAGCCUCCAGCCGCUCCAAGCGCCAUUGCUGCUCCCCACCUCCGCUGCCUCUGCUGAUUGCCCUGGCCGCACGUCGUUGCUGAAUUGGAGCGGCCCGAUCGCCUUCAGCUCUGCAACUCUCGACAGUGGCGAUGUCCUUAUCUUUGCAAAGGGCGUCAACCAUGCCGCUGGCGGAGUCCGGUGCAUCUAUCGCCACUGCGGCGACGCCCAUGGCCAUGGCGUGGUGGCCUCCUUCCCGGCCAUCACGUCCGUACAGCAGGUUACCCGGUGCCCUGCUCCACCGAUGCAUCUCAACUCCAGGAACGCAGAGUUGCGUGUCACGGUGGCAGCCACCGGCGAAGAUCCCAUCCCCUCAAUUGCAACUUAUCGCCCACAGCAGAGUCAGAGUGGCUUGGUGGUGACACCGGCCCGAAAGAAGUUGAUUUGCGCUUGCACUAUGGUCCACAAUGUGUCCAAGUUUCUUCGCGAGUGGGUGCUGUACCAUGCCGCUGUCGGGGUGGAGCACUUCUUCCUGUAUGACAAUGGAAGUCAAGAUGACUUCGCAGAUCAAGUCGCUCAGUUGAGGUCAGCCGGAAUCAGCAUCACUACCGUGCCUUGGCCGUGGAUCAAAAUGCAGGAAGCUGGCUUCUCCCAUUCUGCUGCAAUGCACCAGAGUUCUUGCAAGUGGAUGGCAUUCAUAGAUGUCGAUGAAUUCAUUUUUUCGCCAAACUGGAAAGGAUCCGAGAAACCGUCAAAAUCAAUGCUUGAAGCGCUUCUUCCCGUCGAUCCAGACGUCGGGCAGGUGUAUCUGUGGUGCUUUGAUUUUGCUCCCUCUGGCCAAACAUCACACCCACAGGAGGGUGUCAUCCAAGGAUACACAUGCCGUCGAAAGAUUAUUCUGCGGCACAAAUCGCUCGUUCUUCUUGCUGCGGUGAACCAUUCUUUGGAGAAUGCAAUACACCAUUUCACGCUCAAGGAUGGUUUUAGAAGCAUACGGAACUUGCAGGCGCGGGUCAACCAUUAUAAAUACCAGGCAUGGAGUGAGUUCAAGCAUAAGUUCAAACGGCGAGUGUCCGCCUACGUGGCUGACUGGAGAGAUCCGAUCAACCUUCAGUCCGCUGAUCGGGCCCCCGGCUUAGGACUUGACGGAGUUGAACCGGUUGAUUGGGCGCAAAGGUAUUGCGACGUCAAGGACAAUCUGCUUCAGCAGUUGAGCGCAAGAUGGUUUGGUAAUGGAUUGGCAACUCUGGGAUCUCAGGAUACUUAG
Molecule: ribosomal RNA, 1803 nt
Filed under: Triticum aestivum (bread wheat)
Lineage: Eukaryota; Viridiplantae; Streptophyta; Magnoliopsida; Poales; Poaceae
Description: partial small subunit ribosomal RNA
Source: RNAcentral